Molecule: ribosomal RNA, 301 nt
Filed under: uncultured bacterium
Lineage: Bacteria
Description: partial 16S ribosomal RNA
Rfam family: Bacterial small subunit ribosomal RNA
Source: RNAcentral
CAGUCGCCGCGGGAAUACGGAGGGUGCAAGCGUUAAUCGGAAUUACUGGGCGUAAAGCGUGCGUAGGCGGUUCGUUAAGUCUGUUGUGAAAGCCCCGGGCUCAACCUGGGAAUGGCAAUGGAUACUGGCGAGCUAGAGUGUGUCAGAGGAUGGUGGAAUUCCCGGUGUAGCGGUGAAAUGCGUAGAGAUCGGGAGGAACAUCAGUGGCGAAGGCGGCCAUCUGGGACAACACUGACGCUGAGGCACGAAAGCGUGGGGAGCAAACAGGAUUAGAUACCCGCGUAGUCCCUGUCUCUUAUAC